CCUACGGGAGGCAGCAGUGAGGAAUAUUGGUCAAUGGGCUUACGCCUGAACCAGCCAAGUCGCGUGAGGGAAGACUGCCCUAUGGGUUGUAAACCUCUUUUGUCAGGGAGCAAUUGGCGCUACGUGUAGCCUUAUCGAGAGUACCUGAAGAAAAAGCAUCGGCUAACUCCGUGCCAGCAGCCGCGGUAAUACGGAGGAUGCGAGCGUUAUCCGGAUUUAUUGGGUUUAAAGGGUGCGCAGGCGGAGGCACAAGUCAGCGGUAAAAUCGCGGGGCUCAACCCCGCUCCGCCGUUGAAACUGUGUCCCUUGAGUGCGCGAAGGGUAGGCGGAAGGCGUGGUGUAGCGGUGAAAUGCAUAGAUAUCACGCAGAACUCCGAUCGCGAAGGCAGCCUACCGGCGCGCAACUGACGCUCAUGCACGAAAGCGUGGGUAUCGAACAGGAUUAGAUACCCGAGUAGUC
This 460-nucleotide ribosomal RNA is filed under the name uncultured bacterium. RNAcentral's name for it is "partial 16S ribosomal RNA". It matches the Rfam family "Bacterial small subunit ribosomal RNA", at positions 338 to 795 of the family's 1533-position model. The record is from RNAcentral.